CCUACGGGUGGCAGCAGUGGGGAAUUUUGGACAAUGGGCGCAAGCCUGAUCCAGCUAUUCCGCGUGUGGGAAGACGGCCUUCGGGUUGUAAACCACUUUUGUAGAGAACGAAAAGUCUAUUGAUAAUACCGAUAGAUGAUGACGGUACUCUAAGAAUAAGCACCGGCUAACUACGUGCCAGCAGCCGCGGUAAUACGUAGGGUGCGAGCGUUAAUCGGAAUUUCUGGGCGUAAAGGGUGUGCAGGCGGUUUUGCAAGAUGGAUGGGAAAGCCCCGGGCUUAACCUGGGAAAGCCAUACAUGACUGCAAGACUAGAGUGCGUGAGAGGGGGGUGGAAUUCCAAGUGUAGCAGUGAAAUGCGUAGAUAUUUGGAAGAACACCGAUGGCGAAGGCAGCCCCCUGGGACGCAACUGACGCUCAUACACGAAAGCGUGGGGAGCAAACAGGAUUAGAUACCCGUGUAGUC
Molecule: ribosomal RNA, 465 nt
Filed under: uncultured bacterium
Lineage: Bacteria
Description: partial 16S ribosomal RNA
Rfam family: Bacterial small subunit ribosomal RNA
Source: RNAcentral